Suricata suricatta (meerkat) is the source of this 2418-nucleotide RNA transcript. It is a transcript of the gene named translation initiation factor IF-2-like, with no coding region annotated. Lineage: Eukaryota; Metazoa; Chordata; Mammalia; Carnivora; Herpestidae. The transcript has 5 exons. The record is from RefSeq and is a predicted model, not a curated record.
GCCCUGCGCGGGUGGCAGUUCUUUCCCUUCUAGGGCAACACCUCUUUCGGUGGCAACGACUUCUCCAUAUUUCCACGCAGUCAUUUUUAUAAAUUAAGAGCUGGGCGCACACCAUUUCACCUUUCUGCACUCUUUGGCCAUGAUGUCUAGCUUCCUUGUUUUGUUUUAAUGUCGUGUGUCUGUGUGUGUGUGUGCGUGUGUGUGUGUGUGUGUGUGUUUGUCAGAAGCAGCUGUCCCUGCCAAAAAAUAUUUAUUUACGCGGUCACAUUUUUGUUGAGCGUCUGUGUAUGGUUCGCCAGCCACACCACGCUUCUGUUCUGUGUGUAACACAGGACCAUCUGCUCACCUGCUGGUGGACAACGGGCCACGGAAGCCACGGGUCCUUCGUUCAUUCAACAACUUUUCUCCUGUCUACUUAGCACGGGCGAGGAAGUGUGUUCCUCCCAGGGCUGCCAAUACAGAGGCAGCUGAGACAUGAUCCCGGCCCUUAAAAGCGCCACAAUCCAGCCGGGUAAGUAAAACGCAUCUGAACUGUAGAUUUCUAAAGAUUCUAAAGAUUUCUAAAUUGUAAUAAAUAUGAAUUUAACUUGGGGAGUCAGUUCUUUUGCUUUUGCAUCCUUCUGAGGGGUCUCCCAGAAAGCGAUUUCACAGCCAUGAUGCUGAUCCUGAAGUCCACUUUGUGAAAGUGCUGACUUACAUUUCCAGAAGGGAGAAGAGCCAUUUAAAUAAGGAGGUAUCUUCUGCGUGACUGAAAGAAAACUAUGUAACCAAAUUAAAUUAAAAUGAAAGACCCCAUGAGGCUGGGCUUGAUCCAUUCCCUAGCAGAUUCCAUCCAUGGUAGGUUGUAACUUACUUUUUUUAAAAAGUGAAUCUCAUGUAUGCAGUCUGUAUGCCCAACACAACAGCUAUUUUUUCUGAAACGCAGAUCAUCAUACAUUUUGUGCCUCUACCACCACCACCAGCAUAUACAGCUAGGAAACCAGACUUAUUAGAAGAGAUACCAAUAAAAGUCAGCCUUGGAACCACACUGGAAGCGACCAUUUCAGCCCCGCUGAGGACGGACCGACAUCCACCUAUAAAGAUGCUAGAGGAACAGACGACUUUCCUAAGCAGACAUCUACUCCCAAGAUUCUAUGGACCGGAAACAUCAGGUGUAGGGUCACUUUCUCCAAACUAAUUUGUACUCAGACUCACGUCUCAUUUUGUUUAUACUGUGUCUGAAAAAUUAUUGCCAGGGUCCGAAUUCUUUGUGGUUAGGUUUCUGUUUUACCUGUGCCGAUUCUUGUUCAGGCUGUUUCCUGCAUAGAUUGUGAUCAUUGGCGGGAAGUUCACAUUCAUUAGAACUUGGUGGGAAUUUCUGAGGCUUGUGUUGGGAGAAACCUUCCUCCAGUGAAAAUGUGUUUACUUCCUACCAGGCAUCUGCGGAACUACCAACCCAAGUACAUGUUGUAUUAGCAGCAUGCAGUCUUUCUAAACACGCCCACUGGAUGAACUCAGGCCACCAACUGGCAGAAGGGCUGGCCCUGGGCCACCGCUCUCAGAGAUACGUUGUCCCCCCAUCAGAAAACAGCAAGUCAGACAAGUUUCUCUGCUCUCUGCCUUUUGAGACGUCCUCAUGCCUCACCCCUGCUCCCUGGCCACCUGUCAGCUCCGCAUCGCUCAGAAAGCAGGUCAAGACUCUUCCAGAAAACUUGCAGGCGAACUCCUAGUGCGCCCUUUGUUGUAUCCCUGCUGCUGUACCUGUUGUUGUGCUGACACAGCGUCCUGCCCCCACUUAUCUGGUGUCCUGAUUAGACUAUGAACCCCUUUUAAGUACCUUCCACACGGACUCGUACGUCCCGGUCCUUCCUGCCUCCAUCCUCUCACACGUCUUCUGCCUCUGGCUUAUCAACCUUGCGCACGCCAGCCCGGGUCUCUCGGAAGCCCAGUUCUGGCCAGGCCUGCUGACCCUCAGAACCCUCCAGCGAGAAGCCCUGCCUCACUUUCCCCUGCUGAGCCAGCGGCCCCCGCAGCCAGGGCCCUUCCGCCCAUCAGCUCAGCUGGGACCUCGGGCAGGCAGCAGCCCGCCGGCCUGAGCUCCGACUUCUCCCUCGCCAUCGAAUGAAGCCUGUUAGCACUAGACGCCUCUCCAGACCCAACCUGCGGUCUGCCGGUGUUGGUGACAGCCGCGGGGCCCCCCACUCUGCCCAGUUCCUGCCCUCCCCUCUAGCUGACAGCCCCGGUGUUCCGGGGGCUGGGGAAGAGAGGAAUGGCAGGAAGGGGGAACCAUUGUCUACAGAGACUUUAAGGCCAAUGAUAAAAAUGACUAAAGGUCAGUCUGCUUUUUAUGAUCAUCAUGAACCAGAAAUUUUUUUUUAAUGUCUACUUAUUUUUGAGAAAAAAAGAACUCACGCAAGAAUGGACAGGGAUAGAGAGAGA